RNAcentral lists this ribosomal RNA (963 nucleotides) under uncultured bacterium. RNAcentral's name for it is "bacterial SSU rRNA". It matches the Rfam family "Bacterial small subunit ribosomal RNA", at positions 523 to 1482 of the family's 1533-position model. The record is from RNAcentral.
AUACGUAGGGUGCAAGCGUUAUCCGGAAUUAUUGGGCGUAAAGGGCUCGUAGGCGGUUCGUCGCGUCCGGUGUNGAAAGUCCGUCGCUUAACGGUGGAUCCGCGCCGGGUACGGGCGGGCUUGAGUGCGGUAGGGGAGACUGGAAUUCCCGGUGUAACGGUGGAAUGUGUAGAUAUCGGGAAGAACACCAAUGGCGAAGGCAGGUCUCUGGGCCGUCACUGACGCUGAGGAGCGAAAGCGUGGGGAGCGAACAGGAUUAGAUACCCUGGUAGUCCACGCCGUAAACGGUGGAUGCUGGAUGUGGGGACCAUUCCACGGUCUCCGUGUCGGAGCCAACGCGUUAAGCAUCCCGCCUGGGGAGUACGGCCGCAAGGCUAAAACUCAAAGAAAUUGACGGGGGCCCGCACAAGCGGCGGAGCAUGCGGAUUAAUUCGAUGCAACGCGAAGAACCUUACCUGGGCUUGACAUGUUCCCGACAGCCGUAGAGAUACGGUCUCCCUUCGGGGCGGGUUCACAGGUGGUGCAUGGUCGUCGUCAGCUCGUGUCGUGAGAUGUUGGGUUAAGUCCCGCAACGAGCGCAACCCUCGCCCUGUGUUGCCAGCACGUCGUGGUGGGAACUCACGGGGGACCGCCGGGGUCAACUCGGAGGAAGGUGGGGAUGACGUCAGAUCAUCAUGCCCCUUACGUCCAGGGCUUCACGCAUGCUACAAUGGCCGGUACAACGGGAUGCGACCUCGUGAGGGGGAGCGGAUCCCUUAAAACCGGUCUCAGUUCGGAUUGGAGUCUGCAACCCGACUCCAUGAAGGCGGAGUCGCUAGUAAUCGCGGAUCAGCAACGCCGCGGUGAAUGCGUUCCCGGGCCUUGUACACACCGCCCGUCAAGUCAUGAAAGUGGGUAGCACCCGAAGCCGGUGGCCCAACCUUUUGGGGGGAGCCGUCUAAGGUGAGACUCGUGAUUGGGACU